UAGGAUAAUAGUUAAAAAUAACAUCUGUUCUGCAUUCAGAAAGUAUUGAAAUAUCAAUUUAUCUUAA
Molecule: transfer RNA, 67 nt
Filed under: Megaloprepus caerulatus
Lineage: Eukaryota; Metazoa; Arthropoda; Insecta; Odonata; Coenagrionidae
Description: tRNA-Ala
Source: RNAcentral